AUUGAACGCUGGCGGCAUGCUUUACACAUGCAAGUCGAACGGCAGCGCGGGCUUCGGCCUGGCGGCGAGUGGCGAACGGGUGAGUAAUACAUCGGAACGUGCCCAGUAGUGGGGGAUAGCUCGGCGAAAGCCGGAUUAAUACCGCAUACGACCUGAGGGUGAAAGCGGGGGAUCUUCGGACCUCGCGCUAUUGGAGCGGCCGAUGGCAGAUUAGCUAGUUGGUGGGGUAAAGGCCUACCAAGGCGACGAUCAGUAGCUGGUCUGAGAGGACGACCAGCCACACUGGGACUGAGACACGGCCCAGACUCCUACGGGAGGCAGCAGUGGGGAAUUUUGGACAAUGGGCGAAAGCCUGAUCCAGCAAUGCCGCGUGUGUGAUGAAGGCCUUCGGGUUGUAAAGCACUUUUGGCGGGAACGAAAAGGACUGUGCCAAUACCACGGUUCGAUGACGGUACCCGCAGAAUAAGCACCGGCUAACUACGUG
This 484-nucleotide ribosomal RNA is filed under the name uncultured bacterium. RNAcentral's name for it is "partial 16S ribosomal RNA". It matches the Rfam family "Bacterial small subunit ribosomal RNA", at positions 29 to 507 of the family's 1533-position model. The record is from RNAcentral.